GAUGAAGAACGUAGCGAAAUGCGAUAAGUAGUGUGAAUUGCAGAAUUCAGUGAAUCAUCGAAUCUUUGAACGCACAUUGCGCCCUUUGGUAUUCCAAAGGGCAUGCCUGUUCGAGCGUCAUUUGUACCCUCAAGCUUUGCUUGGUGUUGGGCGUCUUGUCUCUAGCUUUGCUGGAGACUCGCCUUAAAGUAAUUGGCAGCCGGCCUACUGGUUUCGGAGCGCAGCACAAGUCGCACUCUCUAUCAGCAAAGGUCUAGCAUCCAUUAAGCCUUUUUUUUCAACUUUUGACCUCGGAUCAGGUAGGCAUACCCGCUGAACUUAAGCAUAUCAAUAAGCGGAGGA
RNAcentral lists this unclassified non-coding RNA (342 nucleotides) under soil metagenome. RNAcentral describes it as "partial contains 5.8S ribosomal RNA, internal transcribed spacer 2, and large subunit ribosomal RNA". The stretch from base 1 to 120 matches the Rfam family "5.8S ribosomal RNA", at positions 35 to 154 of the family's 154-position model. The record is from RNAcentral.